This 18-nucleotide unclassified non-coding RNA is filed under the name Chlamydomonas reinhardtii. RNAcentral describes it as "small RNA Cre_1426". Lineage: Eukaryota; Viridiplantae; Chlorophyta; Chlorophyceae; Chlamydomonadales; Chlamydomonadaceae. The record is from RNAcentral.
CUACCCGAACGUCGAGUU